Molecule: ribosomal RNA, 474 nt
Filed under: uncultured bacterium
Lineage: Bacteria
Description: partial 16S ribosomal RNA
Rfam family: Bacterial small subunit ribosomal RNA
Source: RNAcentral
UGGGGAAUAUUGGACAAUGGGCGCAAGCCUGAUCCAGCAAUGCCGCGUGAGUGAUGAAGGCCUUAGGGUUGUAAAGCUCUUCGCACGCGACGAUGAUGACGGUAGCGUGAGAAGAAGCCCCGGCUAACUUCGUGCCAGCAGCCGCGGUAAUACGAAGGGGGCUAGCGUUGUUCGGAAUUACUGGGCGUAAAGGGCGCGUAGGCGGCCUGUUUAGUCAGAAGUGAAAGCCCCGGGCUCAACCUGGGAAUAGCUUUUGAUACUGGCAGGCUUGAGUUCCGGAGAGGAUGGUGGAAUUCCCAGUGUAGAGGUGAAAUUCGUAGAUAUUGGGAAGAACACCGGUGGCGAAGGCGGCCAUCUGGACGGACACUGACGCUGAGGCGCGAAAGCGUGGGGAGCAAACAGGAUUAGAUACCCUGGUAGUCCACGCCGUAAACGAUGAAGUGCUAGACNUCGGGGUGCAUGCACUUCGGUGUC